CCCUCAGUCGCGCCGAAUCCGGGCGCUUGGCGACGCAUCAUUCUGCGCCGGGAGUCCCCUUUUGCACGGGGACAACCAGCAGCUCCAGGCACCUCUGGAGUCUACAGAUCAAACGAUCGCGGCCACUCCGGUGGUUAAGAUAUGAUCGGCCUUGACCGUUAUCGGUCCAAAGUUUCGCGGAACCUGCGGAAGGAUCAUUA
This 200-nucleotide ribosomal RNA is filed under the name Parmeliopsis hyperopta. RNAcentral's name for it is "partial small subunit ribosomal RNA". Lineage: Eukaryota; Fungi; Ascomycota; Lecanoromycetes; Lecanorales; Parmeliaceae. The record is from RNAcentral.